This 253-nucleotide ribosomal RNA is filed under the name uncultured bacterium. RNAcentral's name for it is "partial 16S ribosomal RNA". It matches the Rfam family "Bacterial small subunit ribosomal RNA", at positions 524 to 776 of the family's 1533-position model. The record is from RNAcentral.
UACGUAGGGGGCAAGCGUUGUCCGGAUUUAUUGGGCGUAAAGAGCGUGUAGGCGGCCAUACAGGUCCGUUGUGAAAACUCGAGGCUCAACCUCGAGACGUCGAUGGAAACCGUAUGGCUAGAGUACGGAAGAGGCGAGUGGAAUUCCUGGUGUAGCGGUGAAAUGCGCAGAUAUCAGGAGGAACACCAAUUGCGAAGGCAGCUCGCUGGGACGUUACUGACGCUGAGACGCGAAAGCGUGGGGAGCAAACAGG